This 900-nucleotide ribosomal RNA is filed under the name Xylaria venosula. RNAcentral's name for it is "partial large subunit ribosomal RNA". The record is from RNAcentral. Lineage: Eukaryota; Fungi; Ascomycota; Sordariomycetes; Xylariales; Xylariaceae.
AUCAAUAAKCGGUAGGAAAAGAARCCAACAGGGAUUGCCCUAGUAACGGCGAGUGAAGCGGCAACAGCUCAAAUUUGAAAUCUGGCCUUCGGGUCCGAGUUGUAAUUUGUAGAGGAUGCUUUUGGCGCGGUGCCUUCCGAGUUCCCUGGAACGGGACGCCUUAGAGGGUGAGAGCCCCGUACGGUUGGACACCAAGCCUCUGUAAAGCUCCUUCGACGAGUCGAGUAGUUUGGGAAUGCUGCUCUAAAUGGGAGGUAAAUUUCUUCUAAAGCUAAAUAUUGGCCAGAGACCGAUAGCGCACAAGUAGAGUGAUCGAAAGAUGAAAAGCACUUUGAAAAGAGGGUUAAAUAGCACGUGAAAUUGUUGAAAGGGAAGCGUUUGCGACCAGACUUUUUCCUAGCGGAUCAUCCGGUGUUAUCACCGGUGCACUUCGCUAGGUUAAGGCCAGCAUCGGUUUCUGUAGGGGGAUAAAAGCUUGGGGAAUGUAGCUCCCUCGGGAGUGUUAUAGCCCCUCGCAUAAUACCCUUACGGGGACCGAGGACCGCGCUUUUGCAAGGAUGCUGGCGUAAUGGUUGUCAACGACCCGUCUUGAAACACGGACCAAGGAGUCGAACAUUUGUGCGAGUGUUUGGGUGUUAAACCCUCACGCGUAAUGAAAGUGAACGGAGGUGAGAGCCCUUACGGGUGCAUCAUCGACCGAUCCUGAUGUCUUCGGAUGGAUUUGAGUAAGAGCAUAACUGUUCGGACCCGAAAGAUGGUGAACUAUGCGUGGAUAGGGUGAAGCCAGAGGAAACUCUGGUGGAGGCUCGCAGCGGUUCUGACGUGCAAAUCGAUCGUCAAAUCUGCGCAUGGGGGCGAAAGACUUAUCGAACCAUCUWGUAGCCUGGUUACCGCCGAGUU